CUCAACUGAGGAAAGUCCGUCGAAACUGACAGGAUAGAGGAACACAGAGGGAGGCGGAACUCUCGGAGUAGCGGUGGAAUGCGCAGAUACCGAGAGGUACCCCGAUGGCGAAGGCAGCCUCCUGGGUGUUUCCUGACGCUGAAGCGCUAAGGCCAGGGGAGCCAAGGGGAUUAGAUACCCCCGUAGUCCUGGCUGCAAACGAUGUGAGCUAGGUAUCGGGCCCAUGAAGAGGCUCGUUGCCGUAGCUAACGCGUUAAGCUCACCGCCUGGGGAUUACGUCCGCAAGGAUGAAACUCAAGGGAAUUGACGGGGGCCCACACAACCGGUGGAGCACGUGGUUUAAUUCGAUGAUAAGCGAAGAACCUUACCAGGGCUUGACAUACCGGUAGUAGAACCCCGAAAGGGUGCCGAGCCUGGCUUCGGCCAGGCAGCC
RNAcentral lists this ribosomal RNA (433 nucleotides) under uncultured archaeon. Its description in RNAcentral is "bacterial SSU rRNA". It matches the Rfam family "Bacterial small subunit ribosomal RNA", at positions 608 to 1029 of the family's 1533-position model. The record is from RNAcentral.